UGUUACAGAAGGAAAGGACGAGGCUUGGAAAACAUAUCCGGACGUAACCAAUGAAUAUCCGUAAUUUUCGUGUAAAGAAAAGAAGAGAGGAAAAAAGAAAGAAGAAAAAAAAAGAAUAUAUUGGUACUCGAGAAGCGAAAGGAAAUAUCUAUGGUCCGGUCACAUCAGGUUGCAUAAUGCGAACCCUCUAUAGUUGUUUACUUAGGGCGAAAUGUGUUUUCUAAAGGAAAGAAAAUUGAUCUAAUCUCAAAGGAAUAUGGAUAUAUUUCUUUCCUGAGAAAAUACAAAUUUAGACACAAGAACAAGUGACCGGAUGGACAUUGAGAGGGUAAAAGCAGAUACUGUACCACAUGACGCCUCGUGUGAAAUUUUUCAGUGUCCGAUUGAUCGAAUGUAGAUACUAUUUUCAAAAUCAGGAACAUCCCUCGAUUUUAAUUCGAGCAUUUGCCGAAGAUCGUUUAUUGCUUCCAUCCUUAAGUGGUCAAAUGUAAAUAAUAUCGAAUGACAAUGUACAGA
Molecule: long non-coding RNA, 516 nt
Organism: Apis florea (little honeybee)
Lineage: Eukaryota; Metazoa; Arthropoda; Insecta; Hymenoptera; Apidae
Source: RefSeq, a predicted model, not a curated record